UUUGAGACUCCAAGAUCUGUUUCAACAUUGCGUCAGUGCUACUCUCUUAUGGAGCAGAGGUAGAAGAUCCGGCUUGGCCUUGUGUAGACUGAUUUCCUUUGGAGGGGAGACCUUGAGAGUAGUUUUGUCUAGCUUGGUAACCACCUUGUUGGUUGUUGUAGAAGGGCUUUUAUUUGUAGUUGUUGUACUGAAAGUUAGGCUCCUUCUUGUACCAUAUCCCAUUAGCAUUCACAAAACAUAACUCUUCUUGACCUUCUAAACCAUCAACUUCAUGAACCACAACUGUCUCCUCGUUUUUC
Molecule: long non-coding RNA, 299 nt
Filed under: Brassica napus (rape)
Lineage: Eukaryota; Viridiplantae; Streptophyta; Magnoliopsida; Brassicales; Brassicaceae
Description: long non-coding RNA (BNAP_LNC015667)
Source: RNAcentral